UACGUAGGGUGCGAGCGUUGUCCGGAAUUAUUGGGCGUAAAGGGCUCGUAGGCGGUUUGUCGCGUCGGGAGUGAAAACGCCGUGCUUAACACGGCGCUUGCUUUCGAUACGGGCAGACUAGAGGUAUGCAGGGGAGAACGGAAUUCCUGGUGUAGCGGUGAAAUGCGCAGAUAUCGGGAGGAACACCAGUGGCGAAGGCGGUUGCCUGGAGCUUUGCUGACGCUGAGGCGCGAAAGCGUGGGGAGCGAUCCGG
This 253-nucleotide ribosomal RNA is filed under the name uncultured bacterium. RNAcentral describes it as "partial 16S ribosomal RNA". It matches the Rfam family "Bacterial small subunit ribosomal RNA", at positions 524 to 776 of the family's 1533-position model. The record is from RNAcentral.